GAGGUCAUGACUGCCAGCAUUAUGACCAGUCUUGGAACUAGGAUUGGGGUGGGGUUCAUCCCACCCAGACCACAGAGACUGAAAAUAAGAAAGGGGUGAGGCCUAAGGGACAAUCAGGAUGUUUUUCAGAGAGAAGUGUGGAUGCUGGACAGGAAGAACCACAGAUACCAGAUACGGAAAAGGAAGAAUCAACACUUUCAGAGAUGGAGCCUGUUGAGCCACAGUACCAACUAGUCAAUGCUGAAUCGACUUCUCCCUUUCUACAUUGCCUGAGAGAAGUCAUUGGGGAAUACUCUGUACACGAAUUUUCACUGUUGGGGAAAACAGAGAGUCAAGGGAUUGGAUUGUGGAUUGCAUUGGUGGUUUUCCUCAGUUUCCUCAUCUUCUCCACAAGUUUCUACAUAUCGAAUGCAGAGCAGCCCUUCUUCAAAGGACCUCCUACGGAAGCUGCUAAGGAACUCAGUCUGUAGCUCUGCGUGGAGCCAUGUGUAAACACUGAACUGAGACCUGCCACCUCCUACUACCUAAGGGCCCAUUUUCAUCUGAUAUCAUCCCCCAGAAACAAACUCAUGAUGACUUCCAUGUUUUUUUUAGAUUAGAUACAUGGAGAAUUUUCCUUUCCCUUAGAAUUAAAAUCCUGCAUUCUAAUUUUCAGUAAGCUUUUUUAUUUCUGAAUAAUUUUAAAUUUAAAGAGAAGUUGCAAAGAUAGUAUAGAAUGUUCCCUUAUACCUGUUUUUAUUUAGAGUGAUGUUCCCAGGAGAAAUGAUAAUGCAGCAAUGGACAAGAACAGGAACAAGAGACAGUCUUACCAUCUUCUUACAAUUUAUAGAUGGGACAGUGGAAAGAGAAGCCACAUCGGGGUUGGGCAUGCAGAGACCUGGUCCUAAAUCUGUGUGACUUUUGCGAAAUCCUUUUGCCUCACAGAGCUCUAGGUUCUUAUCUGUCAAACAGGAACCAGACCAUCAGAUCCGUAGAGAUCCAACCAAUGAAGGAGACUUCGAAAACUUCACAUUGCCGUGUCAAUGUGAGGUUGCUGGAUGGUUAUGACAAGAAAUCACAUUAAAUUCACUGGGGUAACAUUGUUCAUGAAACGGGAUAAUGUGUUUCAGCGAUGAACCACCCAUGGCCUUACUACAGACAUAUUUCCACUUUGAAAAUGUGUGUGAGUGUACAUGUCUGUGUGUGAGGCAGAGAUUAGAAAGUGUAAAUGUGUGCGUUUUCAUUUUACACAUCUUACAUUUUCCUUUAAUUUGUUUGAAAGCCUGUUUUGUUUGUGGCUUCCAUUCCUGGAAGUCCCAUGAGUUGUUAGUGGUGAAGAUGGAACAGAUGUGUCCAACCCGGGGGACUCCUGCCCUCAGGGACUGAGCAGCUGCAAACCUCUCUCUCAUCUGAUUCCACUGUUUCUUCCACAUGUACACAUCAUGAGAAAUAUUGUUCAAUCAAUAUCUUCCCUUAAAUCAACUCAUAUGCUUAUUUACAUGAAUUUACCUAAAACAGAAACUUGAUAUCACUUCUGUAAAUGAAAAAAUUAAACUUUCUGGCUUUAAAUAAAGCAUAACAAUAAUAAUCAUGUCAAAA
Molecule: long non-coding RNA, 1578 nt
Organism: Homo sapiens (human)
Lineage: Eukaryota; Metazoa; Chordata; Mammalia; Primates; Hominidae
Product: long intergenic non-protein coding RNA 943
Source: Ensembl